AACAUCUAUAGCCCUUGCAAAAAGUUCCGGGAAAGCCAAAAGGGGGAAACCGUUUCAAGUGCUUAUCGCGGCAGAGAGAUUCGGUGGCCGGAAGCGAUUUCGCGAUGUUAUUACUUUACAAUUGCUUUCUCCAACUCUCGCAAUCUCUUUAGGUUUUCUAUUAUCCCCUCAUUAUUUGACUUGAUCGACUUUUUUCUUGUUUUAGCAGAUUGUCUCUUCGUUAAUUUGUACAUCGUGGCUCUUGAUAACGGAGCUGUCGUCGGCUGAAAGAAUUACUUCCACCUGACAGACAAACAGAGUAUAUGCGUGUAUGAAGUAGAGUUAUCUUCUACGUGCAGCAUUUUCUCUUUGAGCAUUGAAGUAGACAGCAGCAACUGGUGUCCUCACUGAUUGCCUUGCUUUUUGCUUGAACAAUAAGAACACAUACCUGUGGAUUCCUAUCACAGGCUUCGGAAUUUCAUAGCUCACAAUCUCCCUCCCUGUUACAUCACAUCCACACUCAUAUAUUUUACUCACUUCACCUAUUCAUUCAACAUAUUAUAUUUAUUAUUAUUAAUAUCCGUGCAUCAUGAAAUUUUACUUACCAAA
Long non-coding RNA from Lactuca sativa (garden lettuce), 588 nucleotides. RefSeq lists it as uncharacterized. The record is from RefSeq and is a predicted model, not a curated record. Lineage: Eukaryota; Viridiplantae; Streptophyta; Magnoliopsida; Asterales; Asteraceae.